UACGUAGGGCGCAAGCGUUGUCCGGAAUUAUUGGGCGUAAAGAGCUCGUAGGCGGCCUGUUGCGUCCGCUGUGAAAUCCCGGGGCUCAACCCCGGGCCUGCAGUGGAUACGGGCUGGCUGGAGGCAGGCAGGGGAGAACGGAAUUCCUGGUGUAGCGGUGAAAUGCGCAGAUAUCAGGAGGAACACCGGUGGCGAAGGCGGUUCUCUGGGCCUGUUCUGACGCUGAGGAGCGAAAAGCGUGGGGGAGCGAACAGG
Molecule: ribosomal RNA, 255 nt
Filed under: uncultured bacterium
Lineage: Bacteria
Description: partial 16S ribosomal RNA
Rfam family: Bacterial small subunit ribosomal RNA
Source: RNAcentral